RNAcentral lists this ribosomal RNA (526 nucleotides) under Anthaxia corinthia. Its description in RNAcentral is "partial 16S ribosomal RNA". It matches the Rfam family "Bacterial large subunit ribosomal RNA", at positions 1816 to 2610 of the family's 2925-position model. The record is from RNAcentral. Lineage: Eukaryota; Metazoa; Arthropoda; Insecta; Coleoptera; Buprestidae.
CAUGUCCUUUUGAGUAUAAUUUAAGGUCUAACCUGCCCAGUGAUUAUUUAAAUGGCCGCGAUAUUUUGAUCGUGCGAAGGUAGCAUAAUCAUUAGUUUCUUAAUUGGAAGCUGGAAUGAAUGGUUGGAUGAGAAAAAUUCUGUCUCAAUAUUAAUUUAAUUAAAAUUUUAUUUCUAAGUGAAAAAGCUUAGAUAUUUAUUAAAGACGAGAAGACCCUAUAGAGUUUAAUAUUUUAAGCUUAAGUAAUAAUAAAGUAUAUAUUUAUACUUAGGUGUUAAAUUAUUAGGUUGGGGUGACUAGAAAAUUGAAUAAACUUUUUUUAAAUAAAAAUACUGAUUGGUAAAUUAUUGAUCCAUUAAUUUAUGAUUAUAAGAAUAAAUUACCUUAGGGAUAACAGCGUAAUUUUCUUUGAGAGUUCAUAUCGAAAAGAGAGAUUGCGACCUCGAUGUUGGAUUAAAAUUAAUUUUUGGUGCANAAGCUAAAAAAUUUAGUCUGUUCGACUAUUAAAAUUUUACAUGAUCUGAGU